Molecule: ribosomal RNA, 427 nt
Filed under: uncultured bacterium
Lineage: Bacteria
Description: partial 16S ribosomal RNA
Rfam family: Bacterial small subunit ribosomal RNA
Source: RNAcentral
UGGGGAAUAUUGCACAAUGGGCGCAAGCCUGAUGCAGCCAUGCCGCGUGUAUGAAGAAGGCCUUCGGGUUGUAAAGUACUUUCAGCGAGGAGGAAGGCGUUGUGGUUAAUAACCGCAACGAUUGACGUUACUCGCAGAAGAAGCACCGGCUAACUCCGUGCCAGCAGCCGCGGUAAUACGGAGGGUGCAAGCGUUAAUCGGACUUACUGGGCGUAAAGCGCACGCAGGCGGUCUGUCAAGUCGGAUGUGAAAUCCCCGGGCUCAACCUGGGAACUGCAUCCGAAACUGGCAGGCUAGAGUCUUGUAGAGGGGGGUAGAAUUCCAGGUGUAGCGGUGAAAUGCGUAGAGAUCUGGAGGAAUACCGGUGGCGAAGGCGGCCCCCUGGACAAAGACUGACGCUCAGGUGCGAAAGCGUGGGGAGCAAACA